CCCAUGGAUCAAUGGGCGAAAGCCUGAUCCAGCCAUGCCGCGUGUGUGAAGAAGGUCUUCGGAUUGUAAAGCACUUUAAGUUGGGAGGAAGGGUUGUAGAUUAAUACUCUGCAAUUUUGACGUUACCGACAGAAUAAGCACCGGCUAACUAUGUGCCAGCAGCUGCGGUA
Molecule: ribosomal RNA, 170 nt
Filed under: uncultured Pseudomonas sp.
Lineage: Bacteria; Pseudomonadati; Pseudomonadota; Gammaproteobacteria; Pseudomonadales; Pseudomonadaceae
Description: partial 16S ribosomal RNA
Rfam family: Bacterial small subunit ribosomal RNA
Source: RNAcentral